RNAcentral lists this ribosomal RNA (448 nucleotides) under uncultured bacterium. Its description in RNAcentral is "bacterial SSU rRNA". It matches the Rfam family "Bacterial small subunit ribosomal RNA", at positions 328 to 792 of the family's 1533-position model. The record is from RNAcentral.
AUACCAGACUCCUACGGGAGGCAGCAGUGGGGGAUAUUGCACAAUGGGGGGAACCCUGAUGCAGCGACGCCGCGUGGGUGAAGGAGUAUUUCGGUAUGUAAAGCCCUAUCGGCAGGGAAGAAGCAAGACGGUACCUGACUAAGAAGCCCCGGCUAACUACGUGCCAGCAGCCGCGGUAAUACGUAGGGGGCGAGCGUUAUCCGGAUUCACUGGGUGUAAAGGGAGCGUAGACGGCCAUGCAAGCCAGGGGUGAAAGCCCGGGACCCAACCCCGGGACUGCCCUUGGAACUGCAUGGCUGGAGUGCGGGAGGGGCAGGCGGAAUUCCUAGUGUAGCGGUGAAAUGCGUAGAUAUUAGGAGGAACACCAGUGGCGAAGGCGGCCUACUGGACGGUGACUGACGCUGAGGCUCGAAAGCGUGGGGAGCAAACAGGAUUAGAUACCCCUGUA